UACGUAGGGGGCAAGCGUUGUCCGGAAUCAUUGGGCGUAAAGAGCGUGUAGGCGGCUCGGUAAGUCCGUUCUGAAAGCCCGGGGCUCAACCCCGGGAGGCGGGCGGAUACUGCUGGGCUAGAGUCCGGAAGAGGCGAGUGGAAUUCCCGGUGUAGCGGUGAAAUGCGCAGAUAUCGGGAGGAACACCAAUGGCGAAGGCAGCUCGCUGGGACGGUACUGACGCUGAGACGCGAAAGCGUGGGGAGCAAACAG
This 252-nucleotide ribosomal RNA is filed under the name uncultured bacterium. RNAcentral's name for it is "partial 16S ribosomal RNA". It matches the Rfam family "Bacterial small subunit ribosomal RNA", at positions 524 to 775 of the family's 1533-position model. The record is from RNAcentral.